AUCUUUUCCAAGCUUCCCAGCCAGGGGGGGCAGCAACAGUAAUGAAGAAAGCCUGGGAAUAGCUCAAAGGCAGCGGGUCUAUAGUUGGUCUCUGCCACUGCAAAAACCCCUCUCGACGUCCCUUUCUCGACAUUUCUCUCUAGAUUCGAGAAGACGAAGAUGGGUACCAUCUCUGCGAUCCUCUUCUUCGCUUUCCUCCUCAUCUCCUCUGCACACUCCUUCUAUCUUCCUGGCGUAGCUCCUCGUGACAUUCACAGGGGGGAUAUCCUUUCUGUCAAAGUGAACAAAUUGUCAUCUACAAAGACACAACUUCCAUAUGACUACUACUACUUGAAAUAUUGUAAGCCUAAAUAUAUUAUUAACAAUGCGGAAAAUUUGGGAGAGGUUCUUCGAGGUGACCGCAUUGAGAAUUCUGUAUACAAUUUUGAAAUGAUGGAAGAGCAAGCAUGCAAAGUGGCAUGCGGAGUGGCACUUGAUGCUGAAUCUGCCAAGAAUUUCAAGGAAAAAAUUGAUGAUGAAUAUCGGGUGAACAUGUAAGUUGGAGAUGUGCCUGCCAUUUUUUAGUUUACUAUUUUGAGUUUUGUUUGCAAAGGUACAGUUUUUCCACGCUAAACUCCACUCUUCCAUUGCUUUUCUAUUUGUAACUUCGUUUGUUUUGUGUUUGUAUUGUAUGUUAAUUUUAUACUCAUCUGUUGCUUGUACAUUUUCAGUUAAAACUUAAAAUAUUUUCUUCUUUGUGUUGAUAGUUGGGAAAUGGAUGUGCAGGAUACUGGAUAAUCUUCCCGUUGCUGUUCUUAGACAAAGGAGAGAUGGCAGUCAGUCAAAAACUUAUGAACAUGGUUUCCGUGUGGGAUUCAAAGGAAGUUAUGCUGGUGUAUGUUUUAGAAAGCACUAGCUAGUAUAGGAGUUUCUCUUUUUCUUUGUCUCUUUUUUUUUUUUAUGAGAAUUUGUUUCUUUAACAGAGUAAAGAGGAGAAAUAUUUUAUCAAUAACCACUUAAGCUUUAGAGUUAUGUAUCACAAGGAUCCUGAGACAGACUCUGCUCGAAUUGUUGGGUUUGAGGUUAUUCCAAACAGGUAUUGUACCAUCUUCUUGUCUUAUUUCAGUUUUCAUUUUAUCGAGUUUUCUUGGGUGGAUGGUGGAAAUUAAUUAAUUUUAGUGUUUGCUCCAAAUUCUGAAAGCUGAAAUGCAAUAGAGGAAAAUAAAAAUGUAAGUUCUUGAAUUAAUUUAAGCAUGCUUGCUGUCAGUUGGUUUUAGUUGCAAAAUGAUGUAGGUAUACAUUGAUAUGCAUAUGAAUACUUGCAUGUGUGCAUUGCUCUGGAGUUCAUUUUCUUACUUUAGCAGGUUCGUUUUGUGCCAAAAGUACAAAUUUACCUUGCUUAUUUCCAUUUUGUAUGCUUACAUGCCUUAUCAUUUGUGACUUAUCAUCAGCAUCCUGUUGAAAUUUUAUCGCAAAUGCUGGUAUUAUUUUCUUUGUGGUUUUCCAAUCAUAUAACAAUGUGUCCACUAUGCAGUCUGUUCUUUCUUGUUUGUUACAUCCGCUCUCUGUGGAUUGUGAAAUAGUUAGCUUAUUUAUUUCCGCCUGUUUUAUUCUGAUUCCUGUAAACAGUAUUAAUCAUGAAUACAAGGAAUGGGAUGAUAACAAUCCUCAAGUGACAACAUGCAACAAGGACACCAAGAAGUUGAUUCAAGGUAGCACUGUUCCACAAGAAGUUGACUCAGGCAAGAAAGUUGUAUUCUCAUAUGAUGUUACCUUCAAGGAAAGUGAGAUUAAAUGGGCAUCUCGGUGGGACACAUACCUACUCAUGAAUGAUGAUCAGAUCCACUGGUUCUCCAUCAUAAACUCUUUGAUGAUUGUGCUGUUCCUUUCUGGCAUGGUGGCCAUGAUCAUGAUGAGAACAUUGUAUAGAGAUAUUGCAAACUACAAUCAGUUGGAGACUCAAGAUGAGGCUCAGGAAGAAACAGGGUGGAAACUUGUCCAUGGAGAUGUGUUCCGGGCACCUAUCAAUUCUGGUUUACUCUGUGUUUAUGUUGGCACAGGUGUACAAAUCUUUGGAAUGACAUUAGUGACAAUGAUAUUUGCAUUGCUGGGUUUCUUAUCCCCUUCCAACAGAGGUGGCCUUAUGACAGCUAUGGUUCUGUUGUGGGUUUUCAUGGGCAUAUUGGCUGGUUACUCAUCAGCACGUUUGUACAAAAUGUUCAAGGGAACAGAGUGGAAGAGGAACACCCUAAAAACUGCAUUUAUGUUCCCGGGUAUUCUUUUUGCAAUCUUCUUUGUGCUGAAUGCCCUAAUAUGGGAAGAGCAGUCUUCAGGGGCAGUGCCUUUUGGGACCAUGUUUGCUUUGGUUUGCUUGUGGUUUGGUAUAUCUGUUCCUUUGGCCUUUGUGGGUAGUUACCUUGGUUUCAAAAAGCCAGCUAUUGAAGAUCCUGUGAAAACAAACAAAAUUCCUAGGCAAAUACCUGAGCAAGCAUGGUACAUGAAACCAUUCUUCUCCAUACUCGUUGGAGGCAUUCUUCCAUUUGGCGCUGUUUUUAUUGAGCUCUUCUUCAUCUUGACAUCAAUAUGGUUGAAUCAGUUCUACUAUAUCUUUGGCUUCCUCUUCAUAGUGUUUGUUAUCCUUUUGAUCACUUGUGCAGAGAUAACAAUUGUGCUCUGCUACUUCCAGUUAUGCAGUGAAGACUACCACUGGUGGUGGAGAUCUUACCUGACUGCUGGCUCAUCUGCUCUGUACCUUUUCCUCUACUCAGUAUUCUACUUCUUUACCAAAUUGGAAAUCACUAAGUUGGUUUCCGGAAUCCUCUACUUCGGGUAUAUGAUAAUCAUAUCUUAUGCUUUCUUUGUUUUGACUGGAGCAGUUGGCUUCUAUGCUUGCUUCUGGUUUGUCCGAAAGAUUUACUCAUCUGUCAAAAUUGACUGAGACUAACCUGAAGAUGCAUAAGGUGGCUGAGGACGGCAUCAAUUCCAUGGGUUUUGUUUAGUUUCCUCUCUGCUUUUGCCAGAUGCAGACUACGCAAUGGAAAUUUUUGGUUGGUCUUGGUGAAAGCAUUUCAUGUGUUGAUUAUAGAGUAGGGAGGGGCAUGUUUUGUUUUUGCUUGUGAAAAUUAUACUGUUCUCGCUAGUUUCUGUGCAUUAAUUGGUGAUCUAGAUAUAUCCAUACAGUAUAUCAACUUUCAUCCAUUCAAUUAUAGGAGUUCUCUUGUGCUGCUUUAUGUUUCUUAUGUUGUAAUUCUUUUGUAGUUAGAAAAAUCAAUGGUAGGAAAUUAGUAUCUCAUUUCAUUUGAGCCAACAUUGCAGAGACGUAGAUAUCGGCAUUAAGGGAGGGAAUUUGGUGAGUUUGUGGAUAAUUUCCCUUGUAAUUUCUUUUAAUGGAAAAGGGCAUCCAGCGUGAAUCUCGGUUCAUGAGAUUGGCACGCGAA
RNAcentral lists this unclassified non-coding RNA (3416 nucleotides) under Hevea brasiliensis (rubber tree). The record is from RNAcentral. Lineage: Eukaryota; Viridiplantae; Streptophyta; Magnoliopsida; Malpighiales; Euphorbiaceae.